RNAcentral lists this ribosomal RNA (253 nucleotides) under uncultured bacterium. RNAcentral's name for it is "partial 16S ribosomal RNA". It matches the Rfam family "Bacterial small subunit ribosomal RNA", at positions 524 to 776 of the family's 1533-position model. The record is from RNAcentral.
UACGGAGGGUGCAAGCGUUAUCCGGAUUUAUUGGGUUUAAAGGGUCCGUAGGCGGCUCUGUAAGUCAGUGGUGAAAUCUCACAGCUUAACUGUGAAACUGCCAUUGAUACUGCAGGUCUUGAGUGUUAUUGAAGUAGCUGGAAUAAGUAGUGUAGCGGUGAAAUGCAUAGAUAUUACGUAGAACACCAAUUGCGAAGGCAGGUUACUAAGCAACAACUGACGCUGAGGGACGAAAGCGUGGGGAGCGAACAGG